Pelobates cultripes (western spadefoot toad) is the source of this 789-nucleotide non-coding RNA. The record is from the annotation of a GenBank genome assembly. NCBI's taxonomy places the organism in Eukaryota, Metazoa, Chordata, Amphibia, Anura, Pelobatidae.
CACAUUUUUAUAAGAAUCACUACCUGUUUUUACGACCAUAAUUUAGUUGUCAAACAAUUUGAAAUCACCCUUAACUUGUGUUAAUGGUUUACUUUAAUGCGAUUUAGCUACUUACUGACAAUACAAUCCAGCUUGCUACUGACACAACCACAGUGAUGCUCUCUCUGCUGACUGACAGGUGCCGAGGGCUCCAGGUUACAGCAUAGAACUACCAUAACUGCUACGUAUGAAUUUCUACAUUUAAUUUUAUUUUUUCGGACUUUACAAAAACAUAUCUGAUAAAUAUAGAGGAUAUAAAUAAAUGUUCUGAUCUUGUGAUGUGACAGUUUCCUUUUUAUACUCCUGACAUCAAGAAUAUUCAUAUCAGCAACAAUAUAUCACCUGUAAUCUUGAGAUGGGAGCUGGAAGGCCCAGGUCAGGUACUUUGCUCUAUAAAAAUAUUCUGUGUAAGAAGCAGAUAUCUUGUUCUUUUCACAGUUCCAGUCUGUUCAGUAAUCUGUGCUGUUUUUUUUUCUUUCUUUUCCGCAAGCAUUAGUGUUCUUUCUGAACUGCCCUUAACUGUCAAUCAUCCAUGUAGCAUUGAUGACAUUUACUUUGACCAUUGGGUGAUAUCAUUGAUUAAUCAUAGUCGAUGAAGCUGCCUUUACCACAUAAUACCCCUAGAGGACUCAUGUGUCAGCUAUAGAAUGGCACUAAACAAAUCACUUCCUUGUCUAGCUGCUGAAGAUUCCCAGAAAGCUACACAGAAAGGAAUAAAGCACCACUUAUAUAUAGAUGAACGGAUGACAG